RNAcentral lists this ribosomal RNA (760 nucleotides) under Brachyporus sp. RCP-2009. RNAcentral's name for it is "SSU rRNA". It matches the Rfam family "Eukaryotic small subunit ribosomal RNA", at positions 474 to 1158 of the family's 1831-position model. The record is from RNAcentral. Lineage: Eukaryota; Metazoa; Arthropoda; Insecta; Orthoptera; Anostostomatidae.
GAAAAAUAACGAUACGGGACUCAUCCGAGGCCCCGUAAUCGGAAUGAGUACACUUUAAAUCCUUUAACGAGUAUCCAUUGGAGGGCAAGUCUGGUGCCAGCAGCCGCGGUAAUUCCAGCUCCAAUAGCGUAUAUUAAAGUUGUUGCGGUUAAAAAGCUCGUAGUUGGACUUGUGUCCCACGCUGUCGGUUCACCGCCCGUCGGUGUUUAACUGACAUGUAUUGUGGGACGUCCUGCCGGUGGUGGCGAGUCGACAGCGCGCGGCUCCCGUGGUUCGCCGCGGGUCGACGUGCGUCUGGAGACGGACCCCGAUGAAAUCCUACCGUGGUGCUCUUAACCGAGUGUCGAGGUGGGCCGGCACGUUUACUUUGAACAAAUUAGAGUGCUUAAAGCAGGCCUGAUGCGCCUGAAUACUGAGUGCAUGGAAUAAUGGAAUAGGACCUCGGUUCUAUUUUGUUGGUUUUCGGAACCCGAGGUAAUGAUUAAUAGGGACAGUCGGGGGCAUUCGUAUUGCGACGUUAGAGGUGAAAUUCUUGGAUCGUCWCAAGACGGACCGAAGCGAAAGCAUUUGCCAAGUAUGUUUUCAUUAAUCAAGAACGAAAGUUAGAGGUUCGAAGGCGAUCAGAUACCGCCCUAGUUCUAACCAUAAACKAUGCCAGCUAGCGAUCCGCCKAAGUUCCUCCGAUGACUCGGCGGGCAGCUCCCGGGAAACCAAAGCUUUUGGGUUCCGGGGGAAGUAUGGUUGCAAAGCUGAAACUUAA